Non-coding RNA from Mobula hypostoma (lesser devil ray), 438 nucleotides. Lineage: Eukaryota; Metazoa; Chordata; Chondrichthyes; Myliobatiformes; Myliobatidae. The record is from the annotation of a RefSeq genome assembly.
AUGUUCAGCUCGGAGAGGUUGAAACUAUUUCAUCUCUGCCUAGCGCUAAUAAUCGGCCGAUGUCUCUCGGAACUUGUGCUACAGUCUCCGUCUGUCAUAACCGCACUAAAGGGCGAUUCCGUGCAGAUAAACUGCACCUAUGGCACAUCCAGCAUUUAUUCCAUGAUGUGGUACCGCCAGAAAUCCGAUCAGAUGCUAGAGUAUAUAAUAAUGCGUAGAAUAUCUGGGAGAGAAAACAAAGGUCGCUUUAAAUUGGAUCUCUCUACCGCGGACAGACGCGGCCAGUUUACUAUCGAAGGAAUCGAAGCCACGGACAGAGCAGUGUAUUAUUGUGCAAUAGAGUCGCACAGUCCUACAAAACGCAUCGUUGCCCGCACAAAAAUCUUUCUACUCUUCACAGCUGCAUCCGGUUCCAACGCGGCAGAGUGGUACUUGUAA